This is a non-coding RNA of Prunus avium (sweet cherry), 487 nucleotides long. The record is from RefSeq and is a predicted model, not a curated record. Lineage: Eukaryota; Viridiplantae; Streptophyta; Magnoliopsida; Rosales; Rosaceae.
UCUCUCUCUCUCUCUUUCUCUCUCUCCUUCUCUCACUCUCUGGCUUCAGAGAGUAUCUAUGGAAACGUAAAACUCGUCCAACAAACAAAAAUAAAAUAAAAUAUAUAUAAAAAAAAAGGACCAAAAGAAGAAAAAAGAAAAGAGAAAAAUAAAAAAGGGAAAAUUAUAUCAAUCUGUGUCCGAUUGUGAGUGCUUUUUCAUUUCAUUUUAGCUUCUUUGUUGCUUGUAGCUGUUGGUUGUUGUAGUUGCGGUGUUCUUGCUCUUGAUGCUCUCUUCCCGUGUCUUUUACGAAACCCAAUUGAAUUGAUGCACCAAACAGCUUCCCCAUCUCUCACUCUCUCAAGGAGGCUGUGAGGUAGAUCUGGAGAAGGGCAAGGUCUCUUCAUUGAUUUGUUCUUUGAAUCUUGAAGAGUAGCAAAGCUGGCAACCACACUGGGUUGGAGGUUUGCUGCCAGCAAUGGCAGCACCCUUGCCACUAAUGAUCUGG